RNAcentral lists this transfer RNA (85 nucleotides) under Carnobacterium sp. RNAcentral describes it as "tRNA-Leu". It matches the Rfam family "tRNA". From Rfam's summary of the family: Transfer RNA (tRNA) molecules are approximately 80 nucleotides in length. Their secondary structure includes four short double-helical elements and three loops (D, anti-codon, and T loops). Lineage: Bacteria; Bacillati; Bacillota; Bacilli; Lactobacillales; Carnobacteriaceae. RNAcentral also lists the same sequence under 2 other names. The record is from RNAcentral.
GCGGUCGUGGCGGAAUUGGUAGACGCGCCAGCUUGAGGGGCUGGUCGAGAAAUUCUUGGUGGGGGUUCGAGUCCCCCCGACCGCA